This 492-nucleotide ribosomal RNA is filed under the name uncultured bacterium. RNAcentral describes it as "partial 16S ribosomal RNA". It matches the Rfam family "Bacterial small subunit ribosomal RNA", at positions 29 to 507 of the family's 1533-position model. The record is from RNAcentral.
AGUGAACGCUGGCGGUAGGCCUAACACAUGCCAGUCGAACGGCAGCACAGUAAGAGCUUGCUCUUACGGGUGGCGAGUGGCGGACGGGUGAGGAAUACAUCGGAAUCUACUUUUUCGUGGGGGAUAACGUAGGGAAACUUACGCUAAUACCGCAUACGACCUACGGGUGAAAGCAGGGGAUCUUCGGACCUUGCGCGAUUGAAUGAGCCGAUGUCGGAUUAGCUAGUUGGCGGGGUAAAGGCCCACCAAGGCGACGAUCCGUAGCUGGUCUGGGGGGAUGAUCAGCCACACUGGAACUGAGCAACGGUCCAGACUCCUACGGGAGGCAGCAGUGGGGAAUAUUGGACAAUGGGCGCAAGCCUGAUCCAGCCAUACCGCGUGGGUGAAGAAGGCCUUCGGGUUGUAAAGCCCUUUUGUUGGGAAAGAAAAGCAGCAGGUUAAUACCCCGCUGUUCUGACGGUACCCAAAGAAUAAGCACCGGCUAACUUCGUG